Molecule: long non-coding RNA, 595 nt
Organism: Bos taurus (domestic cattle)
Lineage: Eukaryota; Metazoa; Chordata; Mammalia; Artiodactyla; Bovidae
Source: Ensembl
CUCCCGGGGCCCUGCCUGGCGCUUCGUCCCGGCCUGAGGCCCAUACAAGGCGCUUCCUUCCCGCCGCGUCUGGCAGGCGGCCCGCAGGCGGCUGUGGGCGGGAGCUCGGCCCUCCGGGUCCGCCCGCGCCCGGGAGCCCGCGGCCAGGGGACUCUGCCAAGGAGGGGGCGGCGGCGGCGGCGGGGCCGGGAACGCGUGGCCUGGCCGGGCUGAGGAAACGGCAACCCCUCCCGGCAACCCCUCCCGGCCCUCGUACAGCGCCUCCAGGGACUUAAACUUGCCUCAGCCACGUGAUUACCCUGAUCUGCCUGCUGAGAGAUGAGCAAAGGUGGAGAGGGACUAGAUCUCAGCAGAGACAGCAGUUCCUGAGCGCCCACCCCCCAGCGCUUCCAGAAAUGCAAUGCAACAUGGACCAGCCUGUGAGCAUUUGCUCCUCCUCAGGUACCAAGUAUGCAAGAUCAGAACAGGGGAGGCUUAGUUUCCACCUUUCCAUCUGGAUCUGCUAUUGACUCAAAGGCAACCACAUGUAGAAAGAGAAUCAAUUUUGGAAUUAAGCCUGGCAUAAAAUUUGGCUUUGCCACUGAAGAGCUGCUAC